Nematostella vectensis (starlet sea anemone) is the source of this 72-nucleotide non-coding RNA. NCBI's taxonomy places the organism in Eukaryota, Metazoa, Cnidaria, Anthozoa, Actiniaria, Edwardsiidae. The record is from Rfam.
GGCUCAGUGGUCUAGUGGUUUGAUUCUCGCUUUUGGUAAGAGAGACCACGGGUUCGAUUCCCGUCUGAGCCC